This 1059-nucleotide long non-coding RNA is filed under the name Fukomys damarensis (Damara mole-rat). RNAcentral's name for it is "lncRNA (ENSFDAG00000026979.1)". Lineage: Eukaryota; Metazoa; Chordata; Mammalia; Rodentia; Bathyergidae. The record is from RNAcentral.
UGUUGAUCUUCCCAGAGAGACUUGCCGAGGCUGGUUUUCCCGAUUGGAACCCAGUUCCUCGCUGUCGCCGGGGAUGGCUGGUGUUCUCUUCGUGGGAGCGGCUCUCUUCUGGUCUUUGCCUUGAGCGUGGCUUCCUGGCUCCAGCGCAGAUCCCUCGGCCUUCUGGAACAGGUCCUUCGCCGCCGGCACAGGCUUUCUAGCUUCCACCUCCGGGCCUUCCGGAUGCAGAUCCUCGACAUGGACUUGCAGGAGACAUUGCCGUGGGCUGUAGGCUUCUGGCUGGACACAUUCGGACAUGGCCGUGGGAUCCAGGGCCUCGGCUGGAUUCUUCGGGUCUCUUGCAUACAGACAGGCAGUUUCUUUGGAAAGCUGGCUGGCUGGGAAAAUUUGAUGACAACUCUUUCCAACCAGGGUCACCACUCAAGCCAUGCUUAGAUAUGGACAUUUCCUCAAGCUCCUCGUAGAGACUUUUCACACCCAUUCAUCAAAUACUUCCGGCCUUCCACUUUCUGUCUGUGCAAGGACUCUACCUCCUGCCUAUAAAUUUAAAUACAGCACAAGCCUGCUAGAGACACUGAAAUGUGUGUGGAAGUCACCCAUCCAACAGGAAGUUCAGGCUGGUGUGCAACCAUCUUGUCAUGACUGUGGAUAUGGGUGCCGCGAUGAAGCCACAAUGGAGCCCAGUCACUGUGACACACGGAGCUGCCAUGGAUGGUGCUAUGGUUUGAAUGUGGCUUGUCUCCCUCAAGACUCAUGGGAAAUGUGAUGUCAUCAUGGCCGCAUUGGGAGGCAGGGUCUUCAGGGAUGGUCAGUUGGUCAAGGAUUUGUGCCUUUCUUGUAAGAGUGGGUUAAUUCUAAUCGGAGGGGUGGUUAGUUAUUGGGAGAGUAGGGUACUACAAAAGUGAGUUUGCCUUCUUUGGCUCUUUCCUGCUUCCUCCUUCACCAUGUGAUUCCUCCUGCCCUUUCUCCGUGGUGUGCUGCAGCAGGAGACCCUCACCAGAAGCCAAGCCAGUGCCAGCACCAUGGCCUUGGGCUUCCAGCCUCCAGGAUAAUAAAGCA